UGAAACCGGGGUGGGCUGCGCGCGGCGGCCAGAGCGUGGAGCGCAGCGCGGGCGCCGGCGGGGACGGAUACUCCAGGCCCCUGGGGUCCCGCUGGGCGACAGCCCCCACACUGCUGAAGCUGCCAGGUCCCCCACCGCCAGGCUCCAAGAUGCCCCAGCACUCGACAGGGGACAAACCCUUCACCUCAAUGCUGCCAUUGACCUUCCCCAGCCCGGCGCCAGCGUUGGAAAACGGGGUUGAGCACAUGCCCCCCAUCGGGCGGGCGUCGCUGGGCUCGCCCCUGAGCCCCGGCUCCCUGUGCUCGGCCGCCCACAGCCCCCUGGACGCCUGCAGCCAGCCCCUGUGCGACUUUGAGAAGCGCGGAGCCCGCGUGGCCCACGAGAUGCGCUACGUCUCGGCCGGGCCACAGAGCACGGCGUGUGGCUGGCGGGCCUUCGCCCCCGCGUGUCUGCAGGCCUUCAACACGCCCAAGGGCUUCCUGCUCUUCCUGUGCGCGGCCUCGUUCCUGCAGGGCAUGACCGUGAACGGCUUCAUCAACACGGUCAUCACCUCCAUCGAGCGCCGCUUCGACCUGCACAGCUACCAGAGCGGGCUGGUGGCCAGCGCCUACGACAUCGCCGCCUGCCUCUGCCUCACCUUCGUCAGCUACUUCGGGGGCAGCGGGCACAAGCCGCGCUGGCUGGGCUGGGGCGUGCUGGUCAUGGGUGCCGGCUCGCUGGUGUUCGCGCUGCCCCACUUCACCGCCGGCCCCUACGAGGUGCAGGUGGACGCGGGGGUGGCCGCGUGCCCAGCCAACCACAGCACGGCGUGCGGGGGCCGCGCCUCGGGCCUGUCCGGCUACCGGCUGGUCUUCAUGCUGGGCCAGUUCCUGCACGGCGUGGGCGCCACGCCCCUCUACACGCUGGGCGUCACCUACCUGGACGAGAACGUCAAGUCCAGCUGCUCGCCCGUCUACAUCGCCAUCUUCUACACGGCAGCCAUCCUCGGGCCCGCCGCCGGCUACCUGAUCGGAGGUGCCAUGCUGAACAUCUACACGGACGUGGGCAGACGGACGGAGCUGACCCCGGAGAGCCCACUGUGGGUGGGCGCCUGGUGGAUCGGCUUCCUGGGCGCGGGGGCUGCUGCCUUCCUCAUCGCCGUCCCCAUCCUCGGCUACCCCCGACAGCUGCCAGGCUCCCAGCGCUACGUGGUCAUGAGGGCGUCGGAGACGCAGCAGCUGAAAGAGGACAGCCACGGGGCCACGAACAGCCCGGACUUCGGGAAAACCAUCCGAGAUCUGCCCCUCUCCCUCUGGCUACUCAUGAAGAACCCCACGUUCAUCCUGCUCUGCCUGGCAGGGGCCACGGAGGCCACGCUCAUCGCCGGCAUGUCCACAUUCGGCCCCAAGUUCCUCGAGUCCCAGUUCAGCCUGAGUGCCUCCGAAGCGGCCACCUUGUUUGGGUACCUGGUGGUGCCGGCAGGCGGCGGCGGCACAUUCCUGGGCGGCUUCUUCGUGAACAAGCUGAGGCUCCGUGGCCCCGGCAUCGUCCGGUUCUGCCUGCUGUGCGCCGUGGCCAGCCUGCUGGGCAUCUCCGUGUUCUCCCUGCACUGCCCCAACGUGCCCAUGGCGGGCGUCACGGACAGCGGUGGCAGGAGCCUCCUGCCCGAAGGCCGCCCCAACCUGACAACGGCCUGCAACGCCGCCUGCGGCUGCCGCCCAGAGCACUACAGCCCCGUGUGUGGCUCGGACGGCGUCACCUACUACUCGCCCUGCCACGCGGGCUGCCAUGCAGCCACCGCGACCGGCCCGGGCGGCCAGAAGGUGUACCGAGACUGUAGCUGUCCUCAGAAUCUGUCCUCUGGCUUGGGCCAGGCCACCGCAGGGACAUGCACUUCCGCUUGUCAGAGAAAGCCCCUCCUCCUGGGUUUCGUUUUCGUUGUAAUUUUCUUUACGUUCCUCAGCAGCAUCCCCGCGCUCACGGCGACGCUACGGUGUGUCUGUCACCGGCAGAGAUCCUUUGCCCUGGGAAUCCAGUGGAUUGUAGUUAGAACACUAGGGGGCAUCCCGGGGCCCAUUGCCUUCGGCUGGGUGAUCGACAAGGCAUGUCUGCUGUGGGAGGACCAGUGUGGCCGCCAAGGCUCCUGCCUGGCGUACUGGAACUCGGCCAUGAGCCGCUACAUGCUCAUCAUGGGGCUGUUGUACAAGGGGCCUUGGCGGAGGGCGAGUGGCAUUAGUUUCCGCGCCCGCGAGCCUGACUCACGUUUCUCAAGCUGCCCAGAGAAACUUCCUGCUGUCACUCUUGGCGUGUGCUACCCAGGAAGAAAUGUGGUACUUAUAUUUUGAAUUUCCCCCAUUAGAGGAAAAAUCACAAAACCUUCAAGAUAAAAUGGAACCCCAGGGCCAGCUACCGAGAGGGUCUCGAGGCUCUUCCGUGGGGGGCAGACACCCAGGUUCUGCGUGUGGAGCCUGUGGCCCAGGCGCUGCGGGGACGGAGCCUCGGGGAGCAGGGGAGGGGACAGACCAGCCGGCUUGUCUCCCUGGUCAGCCCCCUGUGGCAGCGCAGUGGUGAGCUCACAGGGACGCACAGCCGCCCCUCGAAUCCGAGAGGUCAGUUCUCUAGGUUUCAGUUACCUGAGGUCAACCGAGGUCUGAAAAUGUUAAAUGAAAAAUUCCAGGAACAGCAAUUCGUAAGUUUUAAGUUGCACACCGUUCUGUGUAAUGGGAUGAAAUCUUGCGUCCCGCCCAGGACGGGGUCUGUGCAGGGUCUCCACGCCGCAGACGCUCCUGCCUCUCUGUCACUUGUGGCCGGUGUGGUUGUCAGAUCCGCAGGCAGGCGUCACUGUUGAGGGGCUGUGUUCUCAUAACUGUCAGCCUAAAAUAAUCAAAAGUCUCAGAUCCAGUUAAAAGAGUUUAUUCAAGGGCAAAGUUUGAGGGGGGCCAUCCGGGGACACACGAACACCAAAGAGUGGUGACCAGCACUCCCGGGGCAGGGACAGUGAGGACGGCUGACACAGGCAGUUACGUCUUAGCACAAAGGCCGGCAUCUGGCGUGAGACUCGGUUGGCUGCUGUUGACCCUGCUCUCAAGAGGGUGCUUGACAGUCUGUCGUUCGGAGGUGGCCCCCGCAGGUGCUCGGCGUCCGCGACCGAGCUGGGGUUGGCAGAGGCCCCGAGAGCCCGGCUGACAGGUGAGGUUUCAGCAUGGAGGGCGAAGGCCAGGGUCAGGCACAGAGAAGAAAAGCAGCCAGGCUGCGUCUGCCGUCCCCAGCCCUGGUGGCCUGUUAGGAACCAGGCAGAGCAGGAGGCGAGCGCUGGGGCAGCAAAGGGUCCCCUGUCUCUGCGGCCGCUCCCCACCACUGAGGCCCGCCCUGUCAGGUCAGCGGCGUUGGAUCCUCACAGGAGCGCGACCCCGCUGUGCCCUGCACGUGUGAGGGGUCUGGGCCGCGGCCGCUUGUGCGAAUGUAACGCCGAUGAGCUGCGGUGGAGCGCGGGCGCUGACUGGCAGAGGUCUGACGGCACGGAGACCGCCGUAGAUCGAUCGCUCUCAGACCGCGUGCAAACCCAGCUGUGAGCGCAGGUGGCGAAGUGACGACAACAGAAAUAAAGAGCACGAAUCUAAUGGGCUUGAACCAUCCCGAAACCACCCCCGCCACCCCUGCUCUGUGGGAAACUGACUUCCAUCAAACCCGUCGCUGGGGCCAAAGAGGUGCUUGGCCUCCUCUUCUUCUCCGCCGCCUGCUUCCUGUACCGGCCCCUGGCAGCGUCUUCAGAUGGCCUGGAAGCUUCUCUGCCC
RNA transcript from Lemur catta (Ring-tailed lemur), 3773 nucleotides. It is a transcript of the gene named solute carrier organic anion transporter family member 4A1, with no coding region annotated. The transcript has 13 exons. The record is from RefSeq and is a predicted model, not a curated record. Lineage: Eukaryota; Metazoa; Chordata; Mammalia; Primates; Lemuridae.